This is a non-coding RNA of Podarcis lilfordi (Lilford's wall lizard), 74 nucleotides long. The record is from the annotation of a GenBank genome assembly. Lineage: Eukaryota; Metazoa; Chordata; Lepidosauria; Squamata; Lacertidae.
UGCAGGAUAGCUCAGUUGGUAGAGCGCAAGACACUUAAUCUCAAGGUUGUGGGUUCAAGUCCCACACUGGGCAA